UACGGAGGGAGCUAGCGUUGUUCGGAAUUACUGGGCGUAAAGCGCACGUAGGCGGAUUUGUAAGUCAGGGGUGAAAUCCCGGGGCUCAACCUCGGAACUGCCUUUGAUACUGCAAAUCUCGAGUCCGGAAGAGGUGAGUGGAAUUCCUAGUGUAGAGGUGAAAUUCGUAGAUAUUCGCAAGAACACCAGUGGCGAAGGCGGCUCACUGGCCCGGAACUGACGCUGAGACGCGAAAGCGUGGGGAGCAAACAGG
RNAcentral lists this ribosomal RNA (253 nucleotides) under uncultured bacterium. RNAcentral's name for it is "partial 16S ribosomal RNA". It matches the Rfam family "Bacterial small subunit ribosomal RNA", at positions 524 to 776 of the family's 1533-position model. The record is from RNAcentral.